Molecule: long non-coding RNA, 2663 nt
Filed under: Strongylocentrotus purpuratus (purple sea urchin)
Lineage: Eukaryota; Metazoa; Echinodermata; Echinoidea; Camarodonta; Strongylocentrotidae
Description: uncharacterized LOC115919464
Source: RNAcentral
CCCUAUAAGGUCUGCAAUAUUGAUCAAGACUACGAGCCCCAAAACCCCCAAAUGCAAAUGCGACUCCCGCCUUUUUUGAACGGGUACAUACAGCAUGGCAUCCCUCUGUGCUACACUAUAGCACUGUACUGUGUGUCAAGGCAUGCAGUGUGUGCGUACAACCAGCCAGCUGCCAUGCAUGCCGUAUGAGACACACACAAGACAGCAAGACAGCCAUUCCUAUCAACAGCUACAGGAGCCAGAGCAGAGACAAAUCCUUUUAUUACUUUGUUUUCCCCUGCUAUUCUUCAAUAUGGGCAUCUGUUGACAUCUUUCGCCAAACAGUGGAUUCAAACACAUUGUGGCAACAGUAUAUUGACGUGAGACCAUGCAGAAAAUGCUACUUUCUCUCAACCUUCUGGAUCAGCAUUCAGCAGCGUAGCAGCCUCAUGACACAGUUGAAGCCUUUAUCGAAUUCUUUGCGUGCAUGUACCCUGGAUCAAGCAGCACUUGCAUUAUACAGGAGAUUCCACCCAAAAUCUAAACCAUGAGUCCCAGCUGAAGAGGAAUAUUUCCAAAAUGAGGUCUACACACACAGAGGUUACUUUCCCCUUCAUUAUAGAGAUACAGAGAGAGGGAGAGAGAGAGAUGGGGGGGGGGAGUGAGUUAUAGCCACGAACCUGAAUAGCUUAGCUGUAGAACUGAAAUGCCCAUUCAUGUCACUUGCCAUUUUGAUGAAUUACAGGGUUUACAAACAUACAUGUAGGCCUACAUUUUUACCCUUUGGGUAAAAGAUCUUGGUAUUUGCGUAUAUUUGUUAUUACUAUUUAUGACGUAGACCUGUUUCAUAAUGCUUAUGUAGUAGAUCAGUCUCGUGCUCACCCCCACCCCCUUCGUAUCGAAAUGUCAAUUCCUAAAACCUGUGGCAAAUUAUAUAAAUUGGUAAUAGAGAAAAAUUGAGUGAGGUAAAUGCAAUACAAAUCUAUUCCAAUCUUAAGCACUUAAGACUUGUUAAGGUAUGGCACGUGAACCGCCAAAAAAUUAAAAAAAUUGUGUCUUGAAAUAAAUGGGAAAGUAGUCCUGCAGCUCAUCAUAGUGACGUACAUUACCGAUUCAGCCAAUUUAAAAUGCCCAUAGGUUUAGUGAUCACAGCUUUCAACAAUCCAUAACCACCUUAUUUUGUGUCAGAUUUAAUGUGGUAUUUUUUAAAAGUAUAGUUGUCUGUUAAGGUUGGAUUUCUCUUUAAAAAGUGUAAAGGGUAAGCCCUAUGUAACAUAAUGUGAUGAGGCAAUUUUCGUUAUAAAACCAAAUCAAAGUGCCGCGGAACAAAUUAUUUCGUUCACCUGUUAAGAAUAAUUGUAUUUCGAUAGUCAGAAUGCGAAAUGCAAACAUGUGUUGUUAGGUAGGGCAACACAUAAUGUAUUCAAUUUGCAUUCUGACUAUUUAAAUACAUUUAUUGGUAAAAGGUGAAUUUAAUAAUUGGUAAUGAGGCACUUAACGAGGACCUAUUCAUUAAAUUUGAUAAUUACAAUACAACAAUGGCCUACAUGUAUUCAUAUGAAUGGGAAAUCUUUGAACUGUUAUGUCGUUUUCUGAGGGUUCAUAAUUUUAUAUGUUCAAGGAUUCAUAAUUCUACAAAUGAAGUAGGGUUCUUAAUUCUGAAAAUGAACUAGGAUUCAUAAUUCCAAAAAUGGAAUAUGGUUCAUAAUUUCGAAAAUUAAAUAGGGCUCAAUAUACUUCCAAAAGUUUAUUAUUCUGAAAAUGCAAAUAGAACCCUUUAUCCUUUUUGGAAUUACGAACCGUCAAUAUAAUGAAUCCUAUUUUAUAUUCAAAAUAAUACCAUUUCAUUUGCGGAAAUAUUAACCCUAUUUUAAUAUCGUUAUUAACGCCCCUUUUUCGAUUCCAGAAUUACGCACCCUAUUUAUUUUUCGUAAUUAUGAAAUCUAUUUCAUUUCUAAAUUCAAACCUUUUAAAAUAUGGACCAUAUUUCAUUUGUUUAUCAAAUGUCAGGAGGAAAAUUGAAAUUUGUCAUAAUACACUGUACUAUCAAGUUACAUUUAUUGAUGAACAGCACACUCUUUAGUUACCAUAAUAUCACUUGUCAAAAUAAUAAGGCCAUGAAUGAUUUUCUUUUGCUUGUGAAUGUAGUAGGCUUAUAUUAUGUAGUACACAAUAUUUAAUUUCCAAUUGCUGCAACUUUAUAUCAAUCCUUUACAUAUACUUUGACAAUCUACAGGUAAAAAUCAUGCUUUGAGUUAUCAUUUGUGAAUUAUUCUCCAAAUUGAAAUGCAUGAAUAAAGUACUUAAAUUUGUACAAAUGAACUUAUUCUCUAUGGUGGAAAAUUACAAAAGAAAUUUCUCAUCAAAAAUGCAUACUCAUUGUUUCUACUCAUGAUACUUACCGUAAGAAAACUUGUAAAUUGCCAAACCUACUCUUUUAAACAUCUACUCCAAAUUUUCAAGAUUGAUUUCUCUCUGUUAACUUUUAGACAAUAAUUAGACAAUUUAACAGUUUUUUUUGUGUCUUCUUUUGUUGUUGAAAUGUGUAAAAAAAAAAAAAUUAAAUCCUUUUUUAUUUAAGCUGUUAAACGUUCAUGUAAUUGUAAUCACUAUAUUAUGAUGUAUGAUAUUCUGACAGAUAAUAAAAGGAUACACUGUUAAGUGUUAAAUAUGAUAAAGAUGAA